GCUUACGGACAUACAACGUUGAAAGCACGCCAUCUCGAAGUUAAGCAACGUUGGGCCUGGUUAGUACUUGGAUCGGAGACGGCUUGGGAAUCCCAGGUGUCGUAAGCU
Molecule: ribosomal RNA, 108 nt
Filed under: Nippostrongylus brasiliensis
Lineage: Eukaryota; Metazoa; Nematoda; Chromadorea; Rhabditida; Heligmosomidae
Source: RNAcentral